ACCUGGGUGGCUCAGUUGAUUAAGCAUCUGACUUCGGCUCAGGUCAUGAUCUCACAGUUCAUGGGUUCAAGUCCCACCCCAGACU
RNAcentral lists this transfer RNA (85 nucleotides) under Felis catus (domestic cat). It matches the Rfam family "tRNA". From Rfam's summary of the family: Transfer RNA (tRNA) molecules are approximately 80 nucleotides in length. Their secondary structure includes four short double-helical elements and three loops (D, anti-codon, and T loops). The record is from Rfam by way of RNAcentral. Lineage: Eukaryota; Metazoa; Chordata; Mammalia; Carnivora; Felidae.